AUGGAUAGCGACCGCCACCGCGGCGAGGACCGCCGCCGCCAAGACACCGACGGACAUCACCACCACCACAAGGCCCGGGAUUCCGUGGGGCGCCGCGAUUCGGCCGACCGCGAGCCGGCGUCACGGAAACGAAAGGACCACGACAGCGGCCGGGAAGGGGGGAAGCGGCCUAGGGCCUCAGUGGAUCCGCCUCCGAGGAAGGAGGAAAGGCCACGGCGAGAGCGCAAGAAGCUUGAGUCAGGUGCUGCUAAUGGAGAUCCACAGCGCGCCGCAGCGCCCAAUCGCGGUGCUCUCAAUUCUGCACCUGCUGCUGCGGUGCCAUCUGCUGACCCUGUUCCUUCAAAGGUAUAUUCGAUUACUACCACCACUGAAAACAGGGGAGUUAGUAUUAGAUCUGACGAAGUUACUGGGAAAUCUAGUGCAGAUGGAACUGCAAAUUCAUCCGCUGGCACAAGUAGCAACUUAAGUCUUGAUGCUUUAGCGAAAGCUAAAAAGGCUUUGCAACUGAAGAAGGAAUUAUCAGAAAAACUCAAGAGAUUACCUGUGCGUAACUUACUUGGUACUGCUAUUGCCGAUACACAGAUUCCUUCACAAGAGAUUGCUACUAAGAUGGGAUUUCGCCAGGAUCCACAGUUUGCACCUCAUACCAGCAUGUUCCCUGGUGCAUCCAGUGAAGUGAAUGUUCCUCAAAGACCUGCCAAGGUCCCUGUUCUCCGUUUUGAUGCUCAAGGUAGGGAAAUCGAUGAGCAUGGAAAUGUUAUCAGCGUGACCAAGCCAAGCAACCUGAGUACUCUGAAGUUCAACAUUAACAAGCAGAAGAAGGAUGCAUUCCAGAUUAUCAAACCAGACUUGGAGUCGCUUGCAAAAUCCACCUUUUAUUUUGAUGGAAGGAUGGGCAUCAACCAAACCAAGCUCCUUCGCCCUAAAAGGCCAGGAUUCCAGUUUAUUGAGGAAGGCAAACUUUCGAGGCAGGCUGAAUUGCAGAGGAUUAAGUUUGAUUUGAUUGUGCGGAAUCAAUUUGGUGAAGUACAAGCCAAAGAGCUUAAAGUAAAGCAAGCUCAACUUGCCAAGGCAAAGGUCGAAGCUGACAUGAAUCCAAACCUAAUUGAAAUUGCUCCUGGUGGAAGGCCUCCAAACCAGAAGCCGAAGGAAGAGAUUCCUGACAUUGAGCCAUGGGACUCAAAAAUCCUGAUUUCUGCCACGUACGAGGACAUCUCCUUGGAAAAGCUUAAUAUGGAUAAGAUCACCAUCUACGUGCAACAUCCAGAGCCAUUGGAACCACCGGCUAAGCCCAUGACACCACCGCCUCAACCACUUAAGCUUACUAACAAUGAGCAGAAGAAGUACAGAACACAGAGGCGCCUCGCUACGAAAAAAGAUAGGCAAGAAAUGAUUAGGAAAGGCCUCUUGGAGCCACCAAAGCCCAAGCUCAAGAUGAGUAACCUUAUGGAAGUACUUGGUGCACAAGCUACACAGGACCCGACACGCAUGGAGAUGGAAAUACGAGCGGCUGCUGCAGAGCGCGAGCAGGCUCAUGUCGACCGCAACAUCGCCCGCAAACUCACGCCAUCUGAGCGCCGUGAGAAGAAGGAGAGGAAGCUUUUUGAUGAUCCUGACACAUUAGACUAUUUCACUGUUUGUGUGUACAGAAUCAGAGACCUGUCGCACAGUCAGACACGCUUUGAAGUGGACAUGAACGCCCGAGACAACCGGUUGACUGGAGCUGCAGUUACCACGGAUGGCAUAAGUGUUGUGGUUGUGGAAGGAGGGGUGAAGUCGAUCAAGAGGUACAAUAACCUGAUGCUGAACAGGAUUGACUGGGCUGCUGCAGUUGGUGGCGAGGAUGCCGCUGACGAGGAGCCGGUGAAUAGCUGUGCAUUAGUAUGGCGAGGUAGCAUGGUGAAGCCCGCCUUUCCCAGGUGGUUCGGUGUGCGUAAGUGCCUGAGUGAGGCUUCUGCCAAGAAGGUGUUUGUAGAUGCUGAAGUUCCACACUACUGGAACCUGGCUGUUAUACUUCUGUUCAAGACAAUGAGAGCGAUUGCUGUGGAUCACUCUAUACUUUGUAUUGUCAUGAACAUGUCAUUUUCAGACUGUAGAUGA
Molecule: ribosomal RNA, 2100 nt
Filed under: Triticum aestivum (bread wheat)
Lineage: Eukaryota; Viridiplantae; Streptophyta; Magnoliopsida; Poales; Poaceae
Description: partial small subunit ribosomal RNA
Source: RNAcentral